GUGUUCCGACACACUAUCGUUAACUGAAUACAUAGGUUAACGAGGCGAACCGGGGGAACUGAAACAUCUAAGUACCCCGAGGAAAAGAAAUCAACCGAGAUUCCCCCAGUAGCGGCGAGCGAACGGGGAGCAGCCCAGAGUCUGAAUCAGCUUGUGUGUUAGUGGAACGGUCUGGAAAGUCGCACGGUACAGGGUGAUAGUCCCGUACACGAAAGCACACUUGCUGUGAACUCGAAGAGUAGGGCGGGACACGUGGUAUCCUGUCUGAAUAUGGGGGGACCAUCCUCCAAGGCUAAAUACUCCUGACUGACCGAUAGUGAACCAGUACCGUGAGGGAAAGGCGAAAAGAACCCCGGCGAGGGGAGUGAAAAAGAACCUGAAACCGUGUACGUACAAGCAGUGGGAGCCUACUUGUUAGGUGACUGCGUACCUUUUGUAUAAUGGGUCAGCGACUUAUAUUCUGUAGCAAGGUUAACCGUAUAGGGGAGCCGAAGGGAAACCGAGUCUUAACUGGGCGUUAAGUUGCAGGGUAUAGACCCGAAACCCGGUGAUCUAGCCAUGGGCAGGUUGAAGGUUGGGUAACACUAACUGGAGGACCGAACCGACUAAUGUUGAAAAAUUAGCGGAUGACUUGUGGCUGGGGGUGAAAGGCCAAUCAAACCGGGAGAUAGCUGGUUCUCCCCGAAAGCUAUUUAGGUAGCGCCUCGUGAACUCAUCUUCGGGGGUAGAGCACUGUUUCGGCUAGGGGGCCAUCCCGGCUUACCAACCCGAUGCAAACUACGAAUACCGAAGAAUGUUAUCACGGGAGACACACGGCGGGUGCUAACGUCCGUCGUGAAGAGGGAAACAACCCAGACCGCCAGCUAAGGUCCCAAAGUCAUGGUUAAGUGGGAAACGAUGUGGGAAGGCACAGACAGCCAGGAUGUUGGCUUAGAAGCAGCCAUCAUUUAAAGAAAGCGUAAUAGCUCACUGGUCGAGUCGGCCUGCGCGGAAGAUGUAACGGGGCUAAACCAUGCACCGAAGCUGCGGCAGCGACACUAUGUGUUGUUGGGUAGGGGAGCGUUCUGUAAGCCGUUGAAGGUGUCCUGUGAGGGAUGCUGGAGGUAUCAGAAGUGCGAAUGCUGACAUAAGUAACGAUAAUGCGGGUGAAAAGCCCGCACGCCGGAAGACCAAGGGUUCCUGUCCAACGUUAAUCGGGGCAGGGUGAGUCGACCCCUAAGGCGAGGCCGAAAGGCGUAGUCGAUGGGAAACAGGUUAAUAUUCCUGUACUUGGUGUUACUGCGAAGGGGGGACGGAGAAGGCUAUGUUAGCCGGGCGACGGUUGUCCCGGUUUAAGCAUGUAGGCGGGAAGUUUAGGUAAAUCCGGACUUCUUUUAACGCUGAGGUGUGAUGACGAGGCACUACGGUGCUGAAGUAACAAAUGCCCUGCUUCCAGGAAAAGCCUCUAAGCAUCAGGUAACAUCAAAUCGUACCCCAAACCGACACAGGUGGUCAGGUAGAGAAUACCAAGGCGCUUGAGAGAACUCGGGUGAAGGAACUAGGCAAAAUGGUGCCGUAACUUCGGGAGAAGGCACGCUGAUAUGUAGGUGAAGCCCCUGCGGGUGGAGCUGAAAUCAGUCGAAGAUACCAGCUGGCUGCAACUGUUUAUUAAAAACACAGCACUGUGCAAACACGAAAGUGGACGUAUACGGUGUGACGCCUGCCCGGUGCCGGAAGGUUAAUUGAUGGGGUUAUCCGUAAGGAGAAGCUCUUGAUCGAAGCCCCGGUAAACGGCGGCCGUAACUAUAACGGUCCUAAGGUAGCGAAAUUCCUUGUCGGGUAAGUUCCGACCUGCACGAAUGGCGUAAUGAUGGCCAGGCUGUCUCCACCCGAGACUCAGUGAAAUUGAACUCGCUGUGAAGAUGCAGUGUACCCGCGGCAAGACGGAAAGACCCCGUGAACCUUUACUAUAGCUUGACACUGAAC
Molecule: ribosomal RNA, 1965 nt
Filed under: Mesorhizobium sp.
Lineage: Bacteria; Pseudomonadati; Pseudomonadota; Alphaproteobacteria; Hyphomicrobiales; Phyllobacteriaceae
Description: partial 23S ribosomal RNA
Rfam family: Bacterial large subunit ribosomal RNA
Source: RNAcentral